Molecule: unclassified non-coding RNA, 253 nt
Filed under: uncultured fungus
Lineage: Eukaryota; Fungi
Description: partial contains 5.8S ribosomal RNA, internal transcribed spacer 2, and large subunit ribosomal RNA
Source: RNAcentral
AACGCAACUUGCGCCCAGCAAUGGGCAUGUCUGUUCGAGUACCGCCAGCCAAUGCAGCAAUGCGAUGUGGCCCGUGACACCACCGCCAUCAUGCUCGGUGAGGUCUCGGCUGAAAUGGAGCAAGCGAGCGGAAGUGUGCUCUCGAGUGUGCCAAAUGCCAGAUGGCCUUAGACUCGCUCGACCAACACAGCCUCCCUCCCACUCUCUAUCAUACUCUGGUCUCGAAUCAGGCAAGAUCACCCGCUGAACUUAA